This 253-nucleotide ribosomal RNA is filed under the name uncultured bacterium. RNAcentral's name for it is "partial 16S ribosomal RNA". It matches the Rfam family "Bacterial small subunit ribosomal RNA", at positions 524 to 776 of the family's 1533-position model. The record is from RNAcentral.
UACGUAGGGGGCAAGCGUUGUCCGGAUUUACUGGGCGUAAAGAGCGUGUAGGCGGCCAAACAGGUCCGUUGUGAAAACUGGAGGCUCAGCCUCCAGACGUCGACGGAAACCGUGUGGCUAGAGUCCGGAAGAGGAGAGUGGAAUUCCUGGUGUAGCGGUGAAAUGCGCAGAUAUCAGGAAGAACACCAAUGGCGAAGGCAGCUCUCUGGGACGGUACUGACGCUGAGACGCGAAAGCGUGGGGAGCGAACAGG